CCCCAUGAAAGACAGCAGUAAUUAGAAAGAGAGAAAUCUUACAGGCAAAGGCUAUUCGACAUUUGGGAUUCCUAAGCUAAUCUUUUUAUUUUUGGAAGGGUGUCUUUCUGAGAAAGGCAGCCAGAGGCACAGCACCAACCUUUCUGACAGUGUGGUCUUCACACUGUUAGUUCUGACAAAGGGAGUCAAGGAGUCGUCCUUGGAGGAGGCGAUGAGGCCAGUGGAAGAAUUGUGGCUGGGGACCCCUCCACUGCUGAGGGAGAUGUCGAUGGACUCACAGCUGGUGUGGAGGCUGCUGAUAGACUGAAAGCCCAGGCCAUCCUUGCUAACUGCGGAGGAGCUGCUGGCGUUGGUGCCCCAGUACCUCUAAUAGCCCGCCUCCUGAAUAUGUAGAUGCAGGU
This 401-nucleotide long non-coding RNA is filed under the name Pan troglodytes (chimpanzee). RNAcentral's name for it is "long non-coding RNA NONPTRT002992". The record is from RNAcentral. Lineage: Eukaryota; Metazoa; Chordata; Mammalia; Primates; Hominidae.